Molecule: long non-coding RNA, 1006 nt
Organism: Gasterosteus aculeatus aculeatus (three-spined stickleback)
Lineage: Eukaryota; Metazoa; Chordata; Actinopteri; Perciformes; Gasterosteidae
Source: Ensembl
UUGCAAUCCUGCUUGCAAAUGUCCCAUUCCUACUUAAUGUAAAUGUAGGUGCCUCCAGUAGAUAAAGUUCUUUGUCAAGUCUUAAUCUGAGCUGCGGGUGCGAUGCAGGACGUGCUGACUGGAGGGCCAUGCAGGGGGAGCAGGCCCGCUGGUACCAAAACACAAGCGUGUUGUAAAAGCUUCAUGACCAGUGGACAUGACGUACUGUAUUAACAAAAUAAGAUACCAAAGGUCCCCUUUUGCCACAAUAUGUACACAUUAAAUAAUGCUAAAACACAUUUUGGAUUUCUAAAGGUAACCAUAUAUUUGUUAAACAGACUAAAUUCCAUGAGCGUUUAGACAUGACGACAAUUGAACUGAUCUUUAUUUCUUUAAGAAAUAGAAAUGUUCUUAUUGUGAUGUGAAAUGUUAGUGUUGACUUUUAAAUCUGGAAUGUGCAACCUUUUCACUUUUUUUCAUGUUCAUUGGAUUUUGGGGUUAAGCACUCCACCUUGUACUACUUUAACCAAAACAUACACAUACUCUCAGGUGCAUCUGUAAUGAUUUCAUAUAGAAACGUAUCACAUCAUAUAAAUAAACAUAAACUUUGGCCUAACAAAGCUUGGUGGCUUUUAUUAAAACGUGUAUCAUAAGUAUAAGCCAACCCACCAAGUUGAAAUUGUUGAAGUGAAGUUCUUAAAAUACGUUUAAGUAAAAGGUUGGCAUAGUGUUGGCAGCAAGCGCCCUGUAGAUGCUGGUCUAUCAUUUCAUUGCACUUCAUAGUAUAAAGCAAUGUUUAACCCAUGCAGGAGUCUUAACAAAACACAUUAUUUUCCCUUUCCCUCCACUUCAUCUUCAUCAGGGCUAGAUAUAUCCACAAGCUCAGCCAGGAAUAUUCCAUCAGGAAGGAAGGUGGGCGGUCUUUCCUGAUGCAUGUCAAUCUUAUCUGAACAGCUACACGACUUGUCUGACUGUUUCUUUGCAGCAGGAGGGAAGUCUUCAAUGGGUUGCUUGCACGUUAGUGUGG